Molecule: ribosomal RNA, 465 nt
Filed under: uncultured bacterium
Lineage: Bacteria
Description: partial 16S ribosomal RNA
Rfam family: Bacterial small subunit ribosomal RNA
Source: RNAcentral
CCUACGGGAGGCUGCAGUGGGGAAUAUUGCGCAAUGGGCGAAAGCCUGACGCAGCGACGCCGCGUGAGGGAUGAAGGUCUUCGGAUUGUAAACCCCUGUUAGCAGGGAAGAACGGUCACUGUGCUAAUCAGUAGUGAAUUGACGGUACCUGCAAAGGAAGCACAGGCUAACUCCGUGCCAGCAGCCGCGGUAAUACGGAGGGUGCGAGCGUUAAUCGGAAUUAAUGGGCGUAAAGCGCUCGUAGGCGGUAUGUCAAGUCAAGGGUGAAAUCCCCGCGCGCAACGUGGGAACUGCCUUUGAAACUGGCAAACUAGAGUGUGUGAGAGGUUAGUGGAAUUCCAGGUGUAGGAGUGAAAUCCGUAGAUAUCUGGAGGAACAUCAGUGGCGAAGGCGACUAUCUGGCACAUAACUGACGCUGAGGAGCGAAAGCGUGGGUAGCAAACAGGAUUAGAUACCCUAGUAGUC